This 62-nucleotide transfer RNA is filed under the name Sermyloides sp. BMNH 846593. RNAcentral describes it as "tRNA-Leu". Lineage: Eukaryota; Metazoa; Arthropoda; Insecta; Coleoptera; Chrysomelidae. The record is from RNAcentral.
UCUAAUGUGGCAGAAUAGUGCACUGGACUUAAAUCCCAAUUAUAGAUUAAAACUCUUUAGAA